UCGAAUGGUGGAAACUUGCGUGGGAUC
RNAcentral lists this small RNA (27 nucleotides) under Bombyx mori (domestic silkworm). RNAcentral's name for it is "piRNA piR-bmo-2111783". Lineage: Eukaryota; Metazoa; Arthropoda; Insecta; Lepidoptera; Bombycidae. The record is from RNAcentral.